This is a non-coding RNA of Felis catus (domestic cat), 73 nucleotides long. The record is from Rfam. Lineage: Eukaryota; Metazoa; Chordata; Mammalia; Carnivora; Felidae.
AUCUGGCUGGCUCAGUCGGAAGAGCAUGAGACUCUUGAUCUCGGGGUCAUGAGUGCAAGCCCCAUGUUGGGUG